RNAcentral lists this ribosomal RNA (253 nucleotides) under uncultured bacterium. Its description in RNAcentral is "partial 16S ribosomal RNA". It matches the Rfam family "Bacterial small subunit ribosomal RNA", at positions 524 to 776 of the family's 1533-position model. The record is from RNAcentral.
UACGGAGGGUGCAAGCGUUAAUCGGAAUUACUGGGCGUAAAGCGCACGCAGGCGGCUUUUUAAGUCGGAUGUGAAAGCCCCGGGCUCAACCUGGGAAUUGCAUUCGAUACUGGGGAGCUAGAGUAUGUGAGAGGGGGGUAGAAUUCCAAGUGUAGCGGUGAAAUGCGUAGAGAUUUGGAGGAAUACCAGUGGCGAAGGCGGCCCCCUGGCACACUACUGACGCUCAGGUGCGAAAGCGUGGGGAGCAAACAGG